GCCUUUUGAUUUCUAGUUCUGUUUCUGGGACCUGUGACCUCAGAUCAGUGAUGAUAAUUUUGUUCUAUGAAAUCUGUACUCCAAAAAGCAUGUUUGUAUUGGAAAAUUGACCUUCAAUUCAAUAUAAAAGCAUUUAUUGAAGUAAGGAGUUUACUAUGUAAUCAAUGAGGAACAUUUAGUUGUUUUUCAACAAGAAACUGAUAUGAAUCUGUAUUUUAGAAAACUUGCUCUUGAAGCACUGUGAAAAGUAGAGCAGAAAUGAUUAAAGAAGCAGGUUUCAACCUCAAAAUGAAUGACACUCCUCUCCCUACCCAAGCUGUGAGAUUUUCUAGAAAUUGCCAUAGCCAGAGACAGAUGGCCAAAGUGUUUCAUGAAAAUUUAUCUGGUUAUUCAACCACAGGUACAAAUUAUGAUGUGAA
RNAcentral lists this long non-coding RNA (419 nucleotides) under Suricata suricatta (meerkat). RNAcentral's name for it is "lncRNA (ENSSSUG00005010811.1)". Lineage: Eukaryota; Metazoa; Chordata; Mammalia; Carnivora; Herpestidae. The record is from RNAcentral.